Molecule: ribosomal RNA, 455 nt
Filed under: uncultured bacterium
Lineage: Bacteria
Description: SSU rRNA
Rfam family: Bacterial small subunit ribosomal RNA
Source: RNAcentral
AGGAUAAACGCUGGCGGCGUGCCUAACACAUGCAAGUCGAACGUCCUACGCAAGUAGGGAGUGGCGGACGGGUGAGUAACACGUGGGCAAUCUACCUUUCGGUGAGGAAUACCGGCGAGAAAUCGCCGACAAUACCGCAUACGCUUCGCAAGAAGCAAAGUCGCAAGACGCCGGAGGAGGAGCCUGCGCCCGAUUAGCUGGUUGGUGAGGUAAGAGCUCACCAAGGCGACGAUCGGUAGCUGGUCUGAGAGGAUGAUCAGCCACACUGGGAUUGAGAACGGCCCAGACUCCUACGGGGGGCAGCAGUGAGGAAUUUUCGGCAAUGGGGGCAACCCUGACCGAGCAACGCCGCGUGCAGGAGGAAGGUCUUCGGAUCGUAAACUGCUUUUCUGUGGGAAGAGAACGGACGGUACCACAGGAAGAACGCCCCGGACUAACUACGUGCCAGCAGCCGC